RNAcentral lists this long non-coding RNA (1446 nucleotides) under Ananas comosus (pineapple). Its description in RNAcentral is "long non-coding RNA (ACOM_LNC025229)". Lineage: Eukaryota; Viridiplantae; Streptophyta; Magnoliopsida; Poales; Bromeliaceae. The record is from RNAcentral.
AAACGGAAGCAGAAAAAAAAAAAAAAAAAAAAACUAAAAAAAGAAGAGUGUAAAAGCCUUUAUUAAAGCAUAAGCAAGUACCUUUUCUGCGUUGCCUUAGAGCGCAUGUAACUCCCAAGUACUCCAAUCUCUCAAGUUAUUUCUAAUCCCUAACUUUGUUUGACAUUAAUAAGAUGAUGAACUAUACGAAUGCUGAUCGUCGACACUCGCUACCACCACCUGCAAUAUCGCGAGAGGAAACUUUAAGCUUACGUGCCUCGAUCGAAAAGUUUUAUAAUUAAGAUGCAGAAAAAUAGUAUGAAUAUAUAAGCAAGGAGAAAUUAAGAGACCAAGAUAUAGAAUUUGGUUUAAGUGGUGGACAUAGGUCAUACUCAAUAGUACAUGCAUGUAACUGAAAAACGUAACAUCAAGCGGUUGAGGGUCUUCCUUUUCUUUUCUUUUUUUUUUCUUUUUUUUUCUUUUCCUUUUUGGAAUAAGAGUUAGGUUAAUGUGGACUCCAAAUGGUGCCAACUCAUUGCAAAACCAACUUUGACUAAGUUUCCUUUUUUUAGGACUAUAGAGAUUAAAAUGCUAGCUUAAGGAGAAAGCAAAAAAACUGAAAAAGGCCAGGAAAUAAGUAAUUAACCAAAGCAAGGAGGUUAAGGAAUUUGUUAUGUUAAUUUAAGCAUUUGUCAAGCUCUUGUUCAUCUUAGGAGGACAUUGAAUUUAGGAAAGGAAAAAGAGUUUUCGAAAUAAGAAAAUUAAUGAUAACAAAAAACUUGAGAUCAGAUCAUGAAGCCAAUCUAAGUUUUUGAAAAGAAAAAACUUGGUAAAAUAUAUUUGACCAGUAAUGUGUGUCAUAUAUUAUUUGAUUCUGUAAUUUAAAUAGCAUUAAAAAAGUUAAAUACCAGUGAAAAAGGAUUAAUCAUAUUACUCAUGCAUGGAGAAAAACAAAUUUCAGUUCAAUGAUCAUUUAAUUUAAAUUCUCCUGUUGUCAUGCAUAUAUAAUGCGCUUAAGAUCGAAGCCCAAUGUCUUUUCAAAUGAACUCCAUCUAAAAUGCAUUUCAUAAUUUUCACUAAAAAAUCAAAAUCCAAAAUCAAAAGCUCCAUUCAAAAGAAAAAGAAACAAGUAUCAAAAGAAAAAAGAAAAGGAAAAGAAUUGUAUAUAUAUAUAUAUAUAUAUAUAUAUAUAUAACUCAAGUAAAAAAUAAUUAAUGUAAGUAAGCGAACUCACCAAAAUUAAAAAUUUCCUUCAAAUCCCUUCACCACCAUGGACCAAAGAUAAGGGAUUUAAACAGAGAGAAAAUAAUUAACAUUAAAAUCAUAAUAUUUUUAUAUAGAAAGGAUAUAUUGGUUUAGCGUGGAAGGUAUGACGAAGGAAACUCCAUCUCCUUAAGAGGAGGAGAUGGAGAUCUACAACGAGAAAGGGAAGGGUUUGGGAAACGUUUCGAAGCGUAGAAGAGUUUC